RNAcentral lists this ribosomal RNA (483 nucleotides) under uncultured bacterium. RNAcentral's name for it is "partial 16S ribosomal RNA". It matches the Rfam family "Bacterial small subunit ribosomal RNA", at positions 27 to 506 of the family's 1533-position model. The record is from RNAcentral.
GGACGAACGCUGGCGGCGUGCCUAACACAUGCAAGUCGAGCGGGGAUUUAAGUGGAAGUUCUUCGGAAUGGAGAUUUACAUUCUAGCGGCGGACGGGUGAGUAACGCGUGAACAAUCUGUCCCGGACAGGGGGAUAACACUUGGAAACAGGUGCUAAUACCGCAUAAGACCACGGCCUCGCAUGGGGCUGAGGUAAAAGGAGCAAUCCGGUUCGGGGUGAGUUCGCGUCCGAUUAGCUAGUUGGUGAGGUAACGGCCCACCAAGGCGACGAUCGGUAGCCGGCCUGAGAGGGUGAACGGCCACAUUGGAACUGAGAGACGGUCCAAACUCCUACGGGAGGCAGCAGUGGGGAAUAUUGGGCAAUGGGCGAAAGCCUGACCCAGCAACGCCGCGUGAGGGAAGAAGGUUUUCGGAUUGUAAACCUCUGUCCUAUGGGACGAAGGAAGUGACGGUACCAUAGGAGGAAGCCCCGGCUAACUACGU